CUCUGGAGGUGGAAGCGGGAGGAUAGCUUGAGCCGGGACACCAUUUUAUCAAGACCAUUUUAAGUCAAGAAAAACAGUUCUUAAAGUUUCUCUUCUAAACGAGGUCAAUAAUUUAUAGCAAAAGAAAUUUCCCAAUCAUGUUGCCUGGUGAUGAUCCUCCAGAGGGCUUCCAGUAGUGAAUUUUGAGCAUUAUCUUUUGUCCUAACUUUGUGAUUGUGAAGUUAAUUUGCACAGGAACAGUUUCCAUCUCUGGAUAUGUCUGUAUACACUUGGUGGAGCCAAAAGAAAAUUUCAAAGAACUUAGAAGGAACAGAAUGCUUUUCAGAGAUGCUUGCAAAGUCAGAACUCUACUCUGGCUCCGUCCCUCCUACCUACUAGCUCUUCAAGACAACCAGACCAUUGCUUCUGGUUCUAUUUUGGGAUGUAACAGUGGAUUCCAAUAUUCCUAUUGGGAGCCUUGACCAAAGAGGUCAUUAAACAAGCAAGGUUUCUUCUUCCCAAUUACCGGCCACAUCUCACAGCAUAAUUUGGAUAUAUAAUGGGGUUUAAAGACUCCUUCCCCUGAUGGGUGCGAAUGAAGAGAAGAAUAGAGUGAAGAGGAAGAGCAUCCUGUCUGCCAAACUUCAGGUUAUCCUCUCCCAACAUAUGGCAAAGCCAGAGCAAGAGAAACCAGAUAAUGUUUGACUACCUACUAUGUGCCAAGCGUUGACCCUAGUGAUGAGAAAUCCAAACCCUUAAUGUUUCAAAGAAUCACAUGAAAGUAUAGACAUUCACCAUGGCCAUACUGCCCAAGGUAAUUUAUAGAUUCAAUG
This is a long non-coding RNA of Homo sapiens (human), 812 nucleotides long. RefSeq lists it as uncharacterized. NCBI's taxonomy places the organism in Eukaryota, Metazoa, Chordata, Mammalia, Primates, Hominidae. The record is from RefSeq and is a predicted model, not a curated record. The transcript is spliced from 3 exons.